GACGAACGCUGGCGGCACGCUUAAAACAUGCAAGUCGAACGAGAAGCUUUGGUGCUUGCACCGAAGUGGAAAGUGGCGAACGGGUGAGUAACACGUGAGAAACCUGCCUAGAAGACCGGGACAACUAAUGGAAACGUUAGCUAAUACCGGAUACCUUUAUUUUUUCUCCUGAUUUAAUAAAGAAAGCUCCGGCGCUUCUAGAUGGUCUCGCGUCCUAUCAGCUUGUUGGUGAGGUAAAAGCUCACCAAGGCAACGACGGGUAGCUGGUCUGAGAGGAUGUCCAGCCACAUUGGAACUGAGAUACGGUCCAAACUCCUACGGGAGGCAGCAGUUAGGAAUCUUGCACAAUGGGGGAAACCCUGAUGCAGCGAUGCCGCGUGCGGGAUGAAGGCCCUAGGGUUGUAAACCGCUUUCAGUUGGGAAGAAAGUGACGGUACCAACAGAAGAAGCCCCGGCCAACUAUGUGCCAGCAGCCGCGGUAAAGUCUGUACU
This 492-nucleotide ribosomal RNA is filed under the name uncultured bacterium. RNAcentral describes it as "bacterial SSU rRNA". It matches the Rfam family "Bacterial small subunit ribosomal RNA", at positions 28 to 531 of the family's 1533-position model. The record is from RNAcentral.